GUAGCUCAACCAAUCAUAAUGCAUGUGGUACGGUUAAUGUGUAAACGAAGAGGUUAGCUCUUCUGUAUCAAAAAUAAAACACAUAAAUUGUUUGCUGCAACGUUUUUUCGAUGGCGACAGUAGAACCCAAACUCAUCCUUUUAUUUAGUGGGAAACGCAAAUCUGGAAAAUAUUACGUUACGUGACGGAUUUGAUUCACAAAAGACUAGGUCCAGGUGUAUGCUGUAUCUUGCGUCUCUCGGGUCCUCUCAAACAGCAAUACGCACAGGUUGGUAUUUCUGUACAGUUGUGCUACAUCAUCCUGGCCGAUCCUCGGUGUGCAGGCUUGUGUUCCAGCUAAUACAACACCUAAUUCAGAUAAUCAAGGACCUUGCCUUGAUGAGGUUAAUCGAUCAGACAUUAAGUGCUGGGCAGGAACAAAAGCCUGCAUGCCCAGCUGGUCUACAAUACACACUACGAGUGAAUGGAGGAACACUACCACUACUGUCUCCUUAUAUUACCCACUAUGCCUACGGGACCAUGGAUUGGACCUGUUGGGAGCAGGUGAGUACGAGGAGAAGUACCGUGCUGACAUGAUCCAGUGGGGUGAGAAGCAGAGGGAGAAGGACCCAGGGUUCUUCUGUCGUGUGGCCAUAAAGGCAGCCCAGCAGCCUAUCUGGAUUGUGAGUGACACGCGACAUCUGUCAGACCUGCAGUGGUUCUGGAGGAACUAUCCUAGUCAAUCUCGCUGUGUUCGGGUGGAGGCCUCAGAAGAGACACGGAGGGAGAGGGACUGGGAGUUCACAACAGGAAUAGAUGAUGCAGUCUGAAUGUGGGCUCGACCAAGGAGUAGAUUUUGAUUGGAUAAUCAAAAAUGAGGGCGAUGGAUCACAACUGGAAGAGCAGCUUGCUACUGGGCUGCUCUCAAUAGCCAAAGAGAAGGUGAAAGAGGACUGAUGUGGAGGGGACAUUACACAGCUGUAGGAACUUGCUGAAAGCACUUGUUGGAAAGUGUAGUUGGGUAUACAUUACUCUAUUUUCUGUGAAAAUCCUAGAACACCUUUCAUACACUGAGGAGCAGCAGAAAGUGAGAAUAUGUAGUAUUUAUUUCUCUACAGUGUUCUGUACUAUCAACUACGUAGCAUGGCAAGAAUAAAAUCUGAUCAAACACCCAAACAUGUACGGUGUGCAUAUUGGCACUGACCAAUAUGUUAAUUUACAUGGAUCACACACACAACUGGCAAAAUAAAAUAAACACUUGAGAAAAAUGAAGGAUACAAAGUAUAUUAAAAGCUGGUGCUUCCACACAGGUGUGGGUCGUGAGUUAAUUAAGCAAUUAAAACAUCCCAUCAUGCUUAGGGUGAUAUAUAAAUUAGUUUGGCUAACAUAGCUAGAAGAGAUGUGACUGUCACAUUCAUCCAAUAAAGUUUGACACUUGAAUAGAUGCCAAGGUGCAUGGAAGCUUUUCUGGUGGCACAAUGCCCUAUUAAGACACUUUGGGGUUUCCUUUUUGGCAUUUUCCUGUACUUGGUGACAUUUGCCUCCUGUGUUGACAUCACUAAGACCCAAUAUACAGAUUAAGUCUGCACUUGUAUAAAAGUAUCAUUGUGCCAUGUGUAAUUUUGUUUUUUUAAUAGUCUUAGAUAGUAAAAUAGUUAACUAGGCUACGAGAAAGUAUAGUUUUAGUUGUAAAUAGCUAGACGAUUAACUGGGAACCUGGAACAUGCACAUAUGCUGACCCAUGGUAAAAUUAGUGCAAUACUGCGUUACACACCCAUUCAACAUAAUUAAAAUGUACUAGACAGACAUGAUCAAUGUUCUAAUAGCAGGGUAAGUGUUCAUAAAACAUUUUAAAGUAGGUAGUAGUAGCAGCACCUAAAUCGGAGUGGUGUCAAACUGAAGGAAAAAAUAAAUAAAUUGGAAUGUCAAUACAAAUCAUGGUUCUUUAUUUUUAAAAAUUGUGUCCAUUUGUGUCAUGAUUACAAUCAAAACAUUACUGGUAACAAUGUUUACACCCAGGUAUCGAGUGAAAAGUUCCAGUUAAACUUGAUGCAAUACUUUACUUUUUAUUUCUUUAUUAAUUAUAAGGUUUGCAGUUCACUUAAUUUGCAGAAAAAAAAUAGUUUAAUAGUCUAUACUGAUAAGUCUAGAUAAUACCCUUGUGUCCCUUCUCCCAAUGCUUCCAUUUUGGCAGUGGAAUGCGUAGUGAUUGGCUGAUCACACCCCUCCCCUACAUCAUCUUAUUGGAAAAAAAUAACAAUUAGCCUAGAGGACUAAGGCUGCAAUUGGCUAGAAUAUCUGCAUCCAAUUCUGUCUGAAGCUAUAAGAUGUUUAUAUCCCUUCAAUGACCCACGACUCAUUCACAAUUCAAUUUCCUGAUCUUGGGGUGGGGGGAGUAAACUGGAAGGGUGGGGGGUGGAACAAAAACAGUUUACAGUAACUUGUGACAACGGCCCUUUUUGGAAAAUGACUCCAGAUAAAAACAAAAACAUGUCAUGCAACAAAACACUUCUCCCUUAUAAGAAAAACAUGUUAAUCCCCCCCAGCCCAUAAUUGUAAAUUAACACAAAAUCCUUGACAAAAGGUAGCACAGUUGUGGACCCUCUGGGCAUUGGCGCAGUAGAAAAGCAGUGCUUGUGUAAGGAUGUUCCAGCAGAAGGUGAGUGGUUAGAGGGGGACAAGAGUUUGAGGCGAUACGUUGGUAGGGCAAGUGGUUCAGAUGGGGAUAACAGAGGGAGAGUUAAUAAUCAAAUGGUGGUCCCAUUCCAAAAGGGAGACAUGAUUAGGUAAGAGUUAUUACCCUCGCCACCUUCAUAUGUGUCCCAGUGGACACCAAAUAUCCCCUUAAGGGUUCUUAUCAGAACAGGAGAGAAGCGCCUCAAUGUAUUUAAACGCUUACAGCUAACAUCCAAAAAAAGACCAUAGGAAUGGCCUCAAACACAAAUCACACACCUAAGCUGGAAUGUGAAUAUUAGAAACCUGUGAAACACUUAAGAUGUUGGUGCUUGAGUAAAUGUUGCCCUUAAGACUAAAAAGAAUGCUAUGAAGAGGCUUCAAAAAAAAAAA
RNA transcript from Oncorhynchus mykiss (rainbow trout), 3045 nucleotides. It is a transcript of the gene named phosphomevalonate kinase-like, with no coding region annotated. NCBI's taxonomy places the organism in Eukaryota, Metazoa, Chordata, Actinopteri, Salmoniformes, Salmonidae. The record is from RefSeq and is a predicted model, not a curated record.